RNAcentral lists this ribosomal RNA (800 nucleotides) under uncultured Dialister sp. RNAcentral's name for it is "bacterial SSU rRNA". It matches the Rfam family "Bacterial small subunit ribosomal RNA", at positions 136 to 916 of the family's 1533-position model. Lineage: Bacteria; Bacillati; Bacillota; Negativicutes; Veillonellales; Veillonellaceae. The record is from RNAcentral.
GAUGGGGACACCAGACGGAAACGCCUGCUAAUACGGAAUACGAUCCGAAAGUCGCAUGACAUUGGAUGAAAAGGGUGGCCUAUCGAAGAAGCUAUCGCUGAAGAGGGGUUUGCGUCCGAUUAGGUAGUUGGUGAGGUAACGGCCCACCAAGCCGACGAUCGGUAGCCGGUCUGAGAGGAUGAACGGCCACACUGGAACUGAGACACGGUCCAGACUCCUACGGGAGACAGCAGUGGGGAAUCUUCCGCAAUGGACGAAAGUCUGACGGAGCAACGCCGCGUGAGUGAAGACGGCCUUCGGGUUGUAAAGCUCUGUGAUUCGGGACGAAAGGCCAUAUGUGAAUAAUAUAUGGAAAUGACGGUACCGAAAAAGCAAGCCACGGCUAACUACGUGCCAGCAGCCGCGGUAAUACGUAGGUGGCAAGCGUUGUCCGGAAUUAUUGGGCGUAAAGCGCGCGCAGGCGGUCACUUAAGUCCAUCUUAGAAGUGCGGGGCUUAACCCCGUGAUGGGAUGGAAACUGGGAGACUGGAGUAUCGGAGAGGAAAGUGGAAUUCCUAGUGUAGCGGUGAAAUGCGUAGAUAUUAGGAAGAACACCGGUGGGGAAGGCGACUUUCUGGACGAAAACUGACGCUGAGGCGCGAAAGCGUGGGGAGCAAACAGGAUUAGAUACCCUGGUAGUCCACGCCGUAAACGAUGGAUACUAGGUGUAGGAGGUAUCGACCCCUUCUGUGCCGGAGUUAACGCAAUAAGUAUCCCGCCUGGGAAGUACGAUCGCAAGAUUAAACUCAAAGGAAUGACGG